Molecule: ribosomal RNA, 415 nt
Filed under: uncultured bacterium
Lineage: Bacteria
Description: bacterial SSU rRNA
Rfam family: Bacterial small subunit ribosomal RNA
Source: RNAcentral
UGGGGGAUAUUGCACAAUGGGGGAAACCCUGAUGCAGCGAUGCCGCGUGGAGGAAGAAGGUUUUCGGAUUGUAAACUCCUGUCGUAAGGGAAGAGGAAGGACUGUACCUUACAAGAAAGCUCCGGCUAACUACGUGCCAGCAGCCGCGGUAAUACGUAGGGAGCGAGCGUUGUCCGGAAUGACUGGGUGUAAAGGGAGCGUAGGCGGGAUGGCAAGUCAGAUGUGAAAACUGAGGGCUCAACCUUCAGACUGCAUUUGAAACUGCUGUUCUUGAGUGAGGUAGAGGUAAGCGGAAUUCCUGGUGUAGCGGUGAAAUGCGUAGAGAUCAGGAGGAACAUCGGUGGCGAAGGCGGCUUACUGGGUCUUUACUGACGCUGAGGCUCGAAAGCGUGGGGAGCAAACAGGAUUAGAUACC